RNAcentral lists this ribosomal RNA (490 nucleotides) under uncultured bacterium. RNAcentral describes it as "partial 16S ribosomal RNA". It matches the Rfam family "Bacterial small subunit ribosomal RNA", at positions 30 to 507 of the family's 1533-position model. The record is from RNAcentral.
AUUGAACGCUGGCGGCAGGCCUAACACAUGCAAGUCGAACGGUAACAGGAAGCAGCUUGCUGCUUCGCUGACGAGUGGCGGACGGGUGAGUAAUGUCUGGGAAGCUGCCUGAUGGAGGGGGAUAACUACUGGAAACGGUAGCUAAUACCGCAUAAUGUCGCAAGACCAAAGAGGGGGACCUUCGGGCCUCUUGCCAUCGGAUGUGCCCAGAUGGGAUUAGCUUGUUGGUGGGGUAACGGCUCACCAAGACGACGAUCCCUAGCUGGUCUGAGAGGAUGACCAGCCACACUGGAACUGAGACACGGUCCAGACUCCUACGGGAGGCAGCAGUGGGGAAUAUUGCACAAUGGGCGCAAGCCUGAUGCAGCCAUGCCGCGUGUAUGAAGAAGGCCUUCGGGUUGUAAAGUACUUUCAGCGGGGAGGAAGGGAGUAAAGUUAAUACCUUUGCUCAUUGACGUUACCCGCAGAAGAAGCACCGGCUAACUCCGUG